UGACCCCUACGGGAGGCAGCAGUGGGGAAUAUUGGGCAAUGGGCGCAAGCCUUACCCAGCAAUACCGCGUGAGUGAAGAAGGUCUUCGGAUUGUAAAGCUCUUUGAUCAGGGACGAACAGAUGACGGUACCUGAAGAACAAGCCCCGGCUAACUACGUGCCAGCAGCCGCGGUAAAACGUAGGGGGCGAGCGUUAUCCGGAUUUAUUGGGUUUAAAGGGUGCGCAGGCGGGAGAUCAA
This 238-nucleotide ribosomal RNA is filed under the name uncultured bacterium. RNAcentral describes it as "partial 16S ribosomal RNA". It matches the Rfam family "Bacterial small subunit ribosomal RNA", at positions 333 to 586 of the family's 1533-position model. The record is from RNAcentral.